GAUGAAGAACGUAGCGAAAUGCGAUAAGUAAUGUGAAUUGCAGAAUUCAGUGAAUCAUCGAAUCUUUGAACGCAUAUUGCGCUCUCUGGUAUUCCGGAGAGCAUGCUUGUUUGAGUAUCAGUAAACACCUCAACUCCCUUUUCUUUUUUGAAAUGGGAGCUGGACUUGAGUGAUCCCAACACUUUUCUCACUGGAAAGUGGCGGGUCACUUGAAAUGCAGGUGCAGCUGGACUUUUCUCUGAGCUAUAAGCAUAUCUAUUUAGUCUGCCUAAAAAACAGAUUAUUACCUAUGCUGCAGCUAACAUAAAGGAGAUGAGUUCUUGUGCUGACUGAUGCAGGAUUCACAGAGACAGCUUUGCGGCUGACUUUGUAAACUCGAUCUCAAAUCAAGUAAGACUACCCGCUGAACUUAAGCAUAUCAAUAGCGGAGGA
This 432-nucleotide unclassified non-coding RNA is filed under the name soil metagenome. Its description in RNAcentral is "partial contains 5.8S ribosomal RNA, internal transcribed spacer 2, and large subunit ribosomal RNA". The stretch from base 1 to 120 matches the Rfam family "5.8S ribosomal RNA", at positions 35 to 154 of the family's 154-position model. The record is from RNAcentral.